Molecule: ribosomal RNA, 492 nt
Filed under: uncultured bacterium
Lineage: Bacteria
Description: partial 16S ribosomal RNA
Rfam family: Bacterial small subunit ribosomal RNA
Source: RNAcentral
AGUGAACGCUGGCGGUAGGCCUAACACAUGCAAGUCGAACGGCAGCACAGUAAGAGCUUGCUCUUACGGGUGGCGAGUGGCGGACGGGUGAGGAAUACAUCGGAAUCUACUUUUUCGUGGGGGAUAACGUAGGGAAACUUACGCUAAUAUCGCAUACGACCUACGGGUGAAAGCAGGGGAUCUUCGGACCUUGCGCGAUUGAAUGAGCCGAUGUCGGAUUAGCUAGUUGGCGGGGUAAAGGCCCACCAAGGCGACGAUCCGUAGCUGGUCUGAGAGGAUGAUCAGCCACACUGGAACUGAGACACGGUCCAGACUCCUACGGGAGGCAGCAGUGGGGAAUAUUGGACAAUGGGCGCAAGCCUGAUCCAGCCAUACCGCGUGGGUGAAGAAGGCCUUCGGGUUGUAAAGCCCUUUUGUUGGGAAAGAAAAGCAGCAGGUUAAUACCCCGCUGUUCUGACGGUACCCAAAGGAUAAGCACCGGCUAACUUCGUG